Molecule: ribosomal RNA, 253 nt
Filed under: uncultured bacterium
Lineage: Bacteria
Description: partial 16S ribosomal RNA
Rfam family: Bacterial small subunit ribosomal RNA
Source: RNAcentral
UACGAAGGGGGCUAGCGUUGCUCGGAAUCACUGGGCGUAAAGCGCACGUAGGCGGACUCUUAAGUCGGUGGUGAAAUCCUAGAGCUCAACUCCAGAACUGCCUUCGAUACUGAGAGUCUCGAGUCCGAGAGAGGUGAGUGGAACUGCGAGUGUAGAGGUGAAAUUCGUAGAUAUUCGCAAGAACACCAGUGGCGAAGGCGGCUCACUGGCUCGGUACUGACGCUGAGGUGCGAAAGCGUGGGGAGCAAACAGG